This 605-nucleotide ribosomal RNA is filed under the name uncultured Colletotrichum. RNAcentral's name for it is "eukaryotic LSU rRNA". The stretch from base 232 to 385 matches the Rfam family "5.8S ribosomal RNA". Lineage: Eukaryota; Fungi; Ascomycota; Sordariomycetes; Glomerellales; Plectosphaerellaceae. The record is from RNAcentral.
CUUGGUCAUUUAGAGGAAGUAAAAGUCGUAACAAGGUUUCCGUAGGUGAACCUGCGGAAGGAUCAUUACAGAGAAUAUGCCCUUCGGGGUAGAUCUCCCACCCAUUGCAUACAAUACCUCGUUGCCUUGGCAGGCCUGUCUUCUGACCACCGGCUUCGGCUGGUCCGUGUCUGCCAGAGGAUUGAAAAUUCAAUCUGUUCUUGUUUUCCGAGUUUAUAUUUGAAUCGUUAAAACUUUCAACAACGGAUCUCUUGGUUCUGGCAUCGAUGAAGAACGCAGCGAAAUGCGAUAAGUAAUGUGAAUUGCAGAAUUCAGUGAAUCAUCGAAUCUUUGAACGCACAUUGCGCCCGCCAGCAUUCUGGCGGGCAUGCCUGUUCGAGCGUCAUUUCAACCCUCAAGCUCUGCUUGGCGUUGGGGCCCUACGGCUGACGUAGGCCCUCAAAGGUAGUGGCGGACCCUCUCGGAGCCUCCUUUGCGUAGUAACUUACUGUCUCGCACUGGGAUCCGGAGGGGCUUCUGGCCGUAAAACCCCCAAACUUUCCAAAGGUUGACCUCGGAUCAGGUAGGAAUACCCGCUGAACUUAAGCAUAUCAAUAAGCGGAGGA